GGCGACCGGCGCACGGGUGAGUAACACGUAUCCAACCUGCCCUUUACUCGGGGAUAGCCUUUCGAAAGAAAGAUUAAUACCCGAUAGCAUAAUGAUUCCGCAUGGUUUCAUUAUUAAAGGAUUCCGGUAAAGGAUGGGGAUGCGUUCCAUUAGGUUGUUGGUGAGGUAACGGCUCACCAAGCCUUCGAUGGAUAGGGGUUCUGAGAGGAAGGUCCCCCACAUUGGAACUGAGACACGGUCCAAACUCCUACGGGAGGCAGCAGUGAGGAAUAUUGGUCAAUGGGCGCUAGCCUGAACCAGCCAAGUAGCGUGAAGGAUGAAGGCUCUAUGGGUCGUAAACUUCUUUUAUAUAAGAAUAAAGUGCAGUAUGUAUACUGUUUUGUAUGUAUUAUAUGAAUAAGGAUCGGCUAACUCCGUGCCAGCAGCCGCGGUAAUACGGAGGAUCCGAGCGUUAUCCGGAUUUAUUGGGUUUAAAGGGAGCGUAGGUGGACUGGUAAGUCAGUUGUGAAAGUUUGCGGCUCAACCGUAAAAUUGCAGUUGAUACUGUCAGUCUUGAGUACAGUAGAGGUGGGCGGAAUUCGUGGUGUAGCGGUGAAAUGCUUAGAUAUCACGAAGAACUCCGAUUGCGAAGGCAGCUCACUGGACUGCAACUGACACUGAUGCUCGAAAGUGUGGGUAUCAAACAGGAUUAGAUACCCUGGUAGUCCACACAGUAAACGAUGAAUACUCGCUGUUUGCGAUAUACAGUAAGCGGCCAAGCGAAAGCAUUAAGUAUUCCACCUGGGGAGUACGCCGGCAACGGUGAAACUCAAAGGAAUUGACGGGGGCCCGCACAAGCGGAGGAACAUGUGGUUUAAUUCGAUGAUACGCGAGGAACCUUACCCGGGCUUAAAUUGCAGUGGAAUGAUGUGGAAACAUGUCAGUGAGCAAUCACCGCUGUGAAGGUGCUGCAUGGUUGUCGUCAGCUCGUGCCGUGAGGUGUCGGCUUAAGUGCCAUAACGAGCGCAACCCUUAUCUUCAGUUACUAACAGGUCAUGCUGAGGACUCUNGAGAGACUGCCGUCGUAAGAUGUGAGGAAGGUGGGGAUGACGUCAAAUCAGCACGGCCCUUACGUCCGGGGCUACACACGUGUUACAAUGGGGGGUACAGAAGGCAGCUAGCGGGUGACCGUAUGCUAAUCCCAAAAUCCUCUCUCAGUUCGGAUCGAAGUCUGCAACCCGACUUCGUGAAGCUGGAUUCGCUAGUAAUCGCGCAUCAGCCACGGCGCGGUGAAUAC
This 1276-nucleotide ribosomal RNA is filed under the name Bacteroides fragilis. RNAcentral's name for it is "bacterial SSU rRNA". It matches the Rfam family "Bacterial small subunit ribosomal RNA", at positions 90 to 1369 of the family's 1533-position model. The record is from RNAcentral. Lineage: Bacteria; Pseudomonadati; Bacteroidota; Bacteroidia; Bacteroidales; Bacteroidaceae.